Molecule: ribosomal RNA, 371 nt
Filed under: uncultured bacterium
Lineage: Bacteria
Description: bacterial SSU rRNA
Rfam family: Bacterial small subunit ribosomal RNA
Source: RNAcentral
UACGUAGGGGGCAAGCGUUAUCCGGAAUCAUUGGGCGUAAAGGGUGCGUAGGCUGCCCUAUAGGUCAGAGGUCAAAGGCUACGGCUCAACCGUAGUAAGCCUUUGAAACUGUAGGGCUUGAGUGCAGGAGAGGAGAGUGGAAUUCCUAGUGUAGCGGUGAAAUGCGUAGAUAUUAGGAGGAACACCAGUGGCGAAGGCGACUCUCUGGACUGCAACUGACGCUGAGGCACGAAAGCGUGGGUAGCGAACAGGAUUAGAUACCCUGGUAGUCCACGCCGUAAACGAUGAGUGCUAGGUGUUGGGGGUCGAACCUCGGUGCCGAAGUUAACGCAUUAAGCACUCCGCCUGGGGAGUACGUACGCAAGUAUGAA